UAAGGAAUAUUGGUCAAUGGACGCAAGUCUGAACCAGCCAUGCCGCGUGAAGGAUGAAGGUCCUCUGGAUUGUAAACUUCUUUUAUCUGGGACGAAACACUCCUAUUCUUAGGGGCCUGACGGUACCAGAUGAAUAAGCACCGGCUAACUCCGUGCCAGCAGCCGCGGUAAUACGGAGGGUGCAAGCGUUAUCCGGAUUCACUGGGUUUAAAGGGUGCGUAGGUGGGUAUGUAAGUCAGUGGUGAAAUCCCCGAGCUUAACCUGGGAACUGCCGUUGAUACUAUAUAUCUUGAAUGUCGUAGAGGUAAGCGGAAUAUGUCAUGUAGCGGUGAAAUGCUUAGAGACGACAUAGAACACCAAUUGCGAAGGCAGCUUGCUAUGCGAUUAUUGACACUGAGGCACGAAAGCGUGGGUAGCAAACA
This 422-nucleotide ribosomal RNA is filed under the name uncultured bacterium. Its description in RNAcentral is "bacterial SSU rRNA". It matches the Rfam family "Bacterial small subunit ribosomal RNA", at positions 355 to 774 of the family's 1533-position model. The record is from RNAcentral.